Molecule: long non-coding RNA, 591 nt
Organism: Hylaeus volcanicus
Lineage: Eukaryota; Metazoa; Arthropoda; Insecta; Hymenoptera; Colletidae
Exons: 2
Source: RefSeq, a predicted model, not a curated record
UUACGCAUGCGCAGAAAGGAAUACCUCGAAGGAAAAAUCCCACGAAUGUCCAUCACUGGGUCAACUUUUUCGACGCGCAUACGCGACUGGAAGCAGAAUCGGGCAUCACAGAUCACGGUAAGGAUAUCGCAAAUGAAAUGGACGCUACAAUGAAGAGACAAAUUACGAGGACAUGCUGCUCGAUGAUGAUAAUUUUUAAUUAUUAUCAAUGAUACGCGUACAAACAUCAAGUCGUCGCAGCAGCCGCUGCUGCCUCAGACGCCAGUCCCACCGUUGCCAUCGCAGCAGCCACUGCUGCCACAAACACGGCCCUCGUCGCCACAACCACAGGCACAGCCCCUGCGACCGCCUCCACCGGCUACACCAUGGGUGGCCACGCAUGUAGAGGCAGACCAUCCAAAGGAAGCGGAAUUGAUCAUGAGGAUUCUUGUCCCAUGAAAACAAGAAUAAUAGAACACGAUUAUACAAUGUUAUUACCUGUACAUAAUAACACAACUCAAAUACCAUCAACUUUGAAAAAUGUUCACAGCAUUUAUGUACCAACAGAAAGCAUUGUGAAUCACAUAUCAAUAAAAGAGUCUUCCAAUAGUU